CCUUUUGAAGACCCUAUUUUCAACCUAAUACCCUAAUCUCACUCCAGCAUUACAAAGACAAAGCUCUCUCACUGCACCACUAUUGCAAAAACGCAUGAAGCUCUCUCACUGCACCACUGCUGCAAAAACUCUGGCGUCCGUUUCUUCUUGAAGCUGUAGGGAAUUUUAUCCCGCUCACCGAUAUACCGCCGGCCAGUAAAAUCGUCAUUCCACCGUCUUGAUCGACAACCCACCAAAUACCUCUUUCGUCUUUCGUAACAAAAAAGAAGACAGGUAGGACAUAUGUUGUCGGAGUGCCCAAAAAAAAGAAGAUGCCCAAACUGUGGUGCAGGCUUUAUCAAAUGAAUGGAGGUGGAAAAGAACAAUGAACAUAAAGGAUUGUUGUUUCAUUGUUGUACCCGCGAUUGCAAGUAUUUCAAAUGGUGUAAGAAAUUUAUGGAUGAAAAAUGUGAAUUGCAUGACGACGGUGAAUCAAGUGUCACUUUAAAAUGAGGUGAGCCUGUUGCGGAGUUGUCGCAUAUGUUGAAAAUGCUUGCUAAGCUGACGGAGGAAAAAGACUUGGAGAUUUCCCUCAACAUCAACAUGCGUAAGGGAAAACAAGAGUCCGAAGAUUUUAUCUAAACUUAGAUGUAAUUCUACUCUAUGCAAUACGAUAUUGUGGAUGUAAUGAAGUCGUUGAGUCUUAUGAUUUUGUUCGUGUACAUAUUUGUUCGUCUCUAGUGUCUUUGUUAGCUGCCGUGGGUGUUAUGAAUCUACUUCCCUCGUGCAAGGCAAGUAGAAUUGUGCUCAACUAUUAGGUCCAUUUAAAAAUCAUGAAUUAGGAUUGGUUGCAA
Molecule: long non-coding RNA, 833 nt
Organism: Olea europaea var. sylvestris
Lineage: Eukaryota; Viridiplantae; Streptophyta; Magnoliopsida; Lamiales; Oleaceae
Exons: 2
Source: RefSeq, a predicted model, not a curated record